Molecule: ribosomal RNA, 497 nt
Filed under: uncultured bacterium
Lineage: Bacteria
Description: partial 16S ribosomal RNA
Rfam family: Bacterial small subunit ribosomal RNA
Source: RNAcentral
GAUGAACGCUGGCGGCGUGCCUAAUACAUGCAAGUCGAGCGAACGGACGAGAAGCUUGCUUCUCUGAUGUUAGCGGCGGACGGGUGAGUAACACGUGGAUAACCUACCUAUAAGACUGGGAUAACUUCGGGAAACCGGAGCUAAUACCGGAUAAUAUUUUGAACCGCAUGGUUCAAAAGUAAAAGACGGUCUUGCUGUCACUUAUAGAUGGAUCCGCGCUGCAUUAGCUAGUUGGUAAGGUAACGGCUUACCAAGGCAACGAUGCAUAGCCGACCUGAGAGGGUGAUCGGCGACCCUGGAACGGAGCCACGGUCCAGAGUACUACGGGAGGCAGCAGUAGGGAAUGUUACGCAAUGGGCGAAAGCCUGACGGAGCAACGCCGCGUGAGUGAUGAAGGCCUUCGGAUCGUAAAACUCUGUUAUUAGGGAAGAACAUAUGUGUAAGUAACUGUGCACAUCUUGACGGUACCUAAUCAGAAAGCCACGGCUAACUACGUG